GGUGAGCCGGCAUGAGGUUGCAAGACCGGAACAACCAGUCCUUCUGGCAGAGUCCUGCCAAUCCAAAGUGUCUGGGAGCCUAAAUCGUAUACUAGUAGUUUGCGUGAUGACCAUGACUGGAGAGUGGGCGGCGGCUGCCAACCGCAGACUGGGCGUAUAUAGUAAGCCUUGACCCACCCAUGGAAAACACGUAUUUACGAACGGUACGACAUGGUAACUGGAUACACUUAACCCUGGGGCAAGUAGAUGUUAGGAAACUAGCAUCGGGCCGCCCACGAGGGUUUCUGAACUCAACGGAGUAGAACGGGGGGGGGUAAUGCCCCUCUCUUCCGGCCC
Molecule: unclassified non-coding RNA, 336 nt
Filed under: Maize chlorotic mottle virus
Lineage: Riboviria; Orthornavirae; Kitrinoviricota; Tolucaviricetes; Tolivirales; Tombusviridae
Description: subgenomic RNA2
Source: RNAcentral